This 556-nucleotide ribosomal RNA is filed under the name Listeria monocytogenes. Its description in RNAcentral is "partial 23S ribosomal RNA". It matches the Rfam family "Bacterial large subunit ribosomal RNA", at positions 1217 to 1781 of the family's 2925-position model. Lineage: Bacteria; Bacillati; Bacillota; Bacilli; Caryophanales; Listeriaceae. The record is from RNAcentral.
UAGGUGUAGUGGUAGGAGAGCGUUCUAAGGGCGUUGAAGGUCGAUCGUGAGGACGGCUGGAGCGCUUAGAAGUGAGAAUGCCGGUAUGAGUAGCGAAAGACAGGUGAGAAUCCUGUCCACCGUAUGACUAAGGUUUCCUGGGGAAGGCUCGUCCGCCCAGGGUUAGUCGGGACCUAAGCCGAGGCCGAUAGGCGUAGGCGAUGGACAACAGGUUGAUAUUCCUGUACCAGUUGUUUUUGUUUGAGCAAUGGAGGGACGCAGUAGGCUAAGGAAUGCAUGCGAUUGGAAGUGCAUGUCCAAGCAAUGAGUCUUGAGUAGAGUUAAAUGCUUUACUCUUUAAGGACAAGUUGUGACGGGGAGCGAAAUAAUAGUAGCGAAGUUCCUGAUGUCACACUGCCAAGAAAAGCUUCUAGUGAGAAAACAACUGCCCGUACCGUAAACCGACACAGGUAGUCGAGGAGAGUAUCCUAAGGUGAGCGAGCGAACUCUCGUUAAGGAACUCGGCAAAAUGACCCCGUAACUUCGGGAGAAGGGGUGCUGACUUCGGUCAGCCGCA